Molecule: ribosomal RNA, 497 nt
Filed under: uncultured bacterium
Lineage: Bacteria
Description: partial 16S ribosomal RNA
Rfam family: Bacterial small subunit ribosomal RNA
Source: RNAcentral
GACGAACGCUGGCGGCGUGCCUAAUACAUGCAAGUUGAGCGCUGAAGGUUGGUACUUGUACCAACUGGAUGAGCAGCGAACGGGUGAGUAACGCGUGGGGAAUCUGCCUUUGAGCGGGGGACAACAUUUGGAAACGAAUGCUAAUACCGCAUAAAAACUUUAAACACAAGUUUUAAGUUUGAAAGAUGCAAUUGCAUCACUCAAAGAUGAUCCCGCGUUGUAUUAGCUAGUUGGUGAGGUAAAGGCUCACCAAGGCGAUGAUACAUAGCCGACCUGGGAGGGUGAUUGGCCACAGUGGGACUGAGACACGGCCCAAAAUCCUACGGGAGGCAGCAGUAGGGAAUCUUAGGCAAUGGACGAAAGUCUGACCGAGCAACGCCGAGUGAGUGAAGAAGGUUUUCGGAUCGUAAAACUCUGUUGGUAGAGAAGAACGUUGGUGAGAGUGGAAAGCUCAUCAAGUGACGGUAACUACCCAGAAAGGGACGGCUAACUACGUG